This 503-nucleotide ribosomal RNA is filed under the name uncultured bacterium. Its description in RNAcentral is "partial 16S ribosomal RNA". It matches the Rfam family "Bacterial small subunit ribosomal RNA", at positions 30 to 523 of the family's 1533-position model. The record is from RNAcentral.
AUUGAACGCUGGCGGCAGGCUUAACACAUGCAAGUCGAGCGGGGUGAUGGUGCUUGCACUAUCACUUAGCGGCGGACGGGUGAGUAAUGCUUAGGAAUCUGCCUAUUAGUGGGGGACAACAUCUCGAAAGGGAUGCUAAUACCGCAUACGUCCUACGGGAGAAAGCAGGGGAUCACUUGUGACCUUGCGCUAAUAGAUGAGCCUAAGUCGGAUUAGCUAGUUGGUGGGGUAAAGGCCUACCAAGGCGACGAUCUGUAGCGGGUCGGAGAGGAUGGUCCGCCAAACUGGAACGAAGACACGGCCCAGACUCCUACGGCAGGCAGAAGUGGGGAAUAUUGGAGAAUGGGGGGAACCCUGAUCCAGCCAUGCCGCGUGUGUGAAGAAGGCCUUAUGGUUGUAAAGCACUUUAAGCGAGGAGGAGGCUCUUUUGGUUAAUACCCAAGAUGAGUGGACGUUACUCGCAGAAUAAGCACCGGCUAACUCUGUGCCAGCCGCCGCCGUAA